Long non-coding RNA from Heterocephalus glaber (naked mole-rat), 1974 nucleotides. The record is from Ensembl. Lineage: Eukaryota; Metazoa; Chordata; Mammalia; Rodentia; Bathyergidae.
AAGGACCUGAGUUCGAUCCCUGGUACCAAAAACUAAAAUGUUCAACAAAUAUUAGUUGAAUGCAUAAAUGGCCUUCCAUGAAUUUCCUAUGCCUGUACAAACACAUAUAUGUAUAUUGGCUUUUAGUCUUUAACAGUAUCUUUAACAUAUCAGCUGGAUGGCAUGGCACUCCCUCUGAUGGUUGUACUAUCGUUUAAUCAAUGCUGCUAAUAGGCAUUCAUGCAGUUCCUAAUUUUUUGUUGUUAUUAUUAACAGUGUUGCAGGCAAGAUCCUUUAGUAGCAGAUGGAGUAUCUGACUCAGGGCUUGAGUUGUUUUUCCAGGAGCAGAGAAUCAGUGUGAUGUCAGAUGAGCAUGAACUUGGAACCUAAAGGAAAGAAGAGAGGAUGAACAGCAAGUCGGUGGUAAGGAUUGAAUAUUUUUGGAGAAGAUGGGCUAAAACCACUUCAAAGAGUUUUACAUUUGGCAAGAAGGAGACCGAGGAAGUAAGGUAUCACCAGUGGGAGGCAGAGAGGGCAAAGAAGAAGGGGACCUCAGGCUGGGCCCAUGGAGGCAGAGGCACCAGUACCUCCUGCCAUGCAGAAGCCUGGCGGGCCCUGGGAUCCCCAGAUUUCAGAUAUCAGGCAUGGGUUCUGAAGUUGCUGAGUGCUAGGAACACUGCUGUGAUCAUGCAAGGUGGUAGUGGUAGUGAGUUAAUUCAGAGAAAGCAGGUAAAUAGGAUGAUAGGGACCUUAAAUGCCAGGUGGAGGCAAAUUUCAGUAUGCCGGCCCAAGAGGGAAGAAAAUAGCAUCUGACUGCUCCCUUUGAUAGAAGUGGAAAUUGGCCGCUUAUCCUAUAUCUGCGAGCCCAAUGCCAUUUCCAGUGACUUGGCAGUGGGUCUUGCCCUGACGUUACAUGGCUUCCAGAAACCAAAUGACAUAAAUUCUGUGACUGUAGCAACUAUGUCUUAAUUCAUCUAGCACACAGUAAGUGCUUGGUGUCUUGAAUUGUAGUGAAACUACAUGUAGAAUUUUUUUUCCCAGUGUUAGAGAUUGAACCCAGGGCCUACACACUGAACUACAUUCUCAUCCCUUUUUUAUCUGAGACAAGGUCUCGCUUAAUCACUAAGUUGCCCAUUCGGGGCUUCAUUUUGCUAUCCUCCUGCCUCAGCCUCCCAGGGUGCUGGAGUUAUAGGCAUGCACCACCACUAUGACUAGCCACAUGUACAAUAUUAAAAGAAUUGAGAGGAAUGUCAGAAAUAACCUAGUUGAGCUGGGUGCAGUGGCACAUGCCUGUAAUCCCAGCUACUAGAGGAACUGAGGCAAGAGGAUCAAAAGUUCAAGGCCAGCCUGGGCAGCUUUGUAAGACUUGUAUCAAAGUGAGAAAAUAAAUAAAUCAAAAGGGCUGAGGGGCUGGAGAUUUAGCUUAGUGGCACCAUGCCUGCCUCACAAGCACAAGGUCCUGAGUUCGAUCCCCAGUAGCAUAAAAAAAGGUGGGGGCUGAGGAUGUAGCUCAAUGGUAGAGCACUUGUCUGGCACAUGCAUAGCCCUGAGUUCAAUCCUCAGCAUUGUAACAAAAUAAAGUCAUCCAGUCGAACCCUCUUAAGUUUGCUUUCUGUGGAAGUAUGGGCCACAUUUGAGGUCUUGUUUAAUUCAGGGUCAACUUCCCCCUCUGCUGACUGCCAAGCCAUCCAGAUCCACGAUUUUUUCCUUCAUCUUUUGGAUUAGUGGUCUGGGGGAACUCAGGACUUCCCAAGACCCUCUCCUUUUCCUCUGGAAAGUGAGAAUAUUUUCAUAAUUGUAUUUUGCGUUUUACUCAUUCACUUACAAGUCUGGUGUUUUCCAGGGUUUAUGGGACACAUGACAUAAUAGACUGCAUGCAGUAGAUGUGAGAAUGCAGACCCUAGACUUACAAAAAUGCCAGGCAAUGCCUCUUAACAUGAUUUUUGUUUUGGAAAAGUUCUAUCUGUUACGGUUAUUUAUGCUUACAGGUACUGG